CAGCCUGAGAUUCCAGUUAUUCCACACUUGCCAGACCACGUGCACAAGGACAGUCGCCUAGGAGGAAACAAGUCCAUGUCUUAUUGGCUUGAGAGCAUUACCCCUUACGUUGACGAAUGGACUACCGCUGCGACAAAUAUCUGGGGUGAGGUUUGGCCCUUUAACUGGGAAAUGUUUGGGUUGUAUCUGCAGCGUUACCGGCAUACAACGAGGAUCUACUUGGUUCCAUUAGCUGCUCCUGAUCAGAUCGAAGCCCCUCUCACCAGCGAUAUGUACCCAACUGCCUCUGUUGUGGGAACCAGACACCACGCGGGUGACUUGACACUACAGGCGCGAGAGGAGGUUU
Molecule: non-coding RNA, 346 nt
Organism: Triticum urartu
Lineage: Eukaryota; Viridiplantae; Streptophyta; Magnoliopsida; Poales; Poaceae
Source: RefSeq, a predicted model, not a curated record